Molecule: long non-coding RNA, 2049 nt
Organism: Mesocricetus auratus (golden hamster)
Lineage: Eukaryota; Metazoa; Chordata; Mammalia; Rodentia; Cricetidae
Exons: 4
Source: RefSeq, a predicted model, not a curated record
UCCGUCUUUGCAUGGAGCGCAGGACCUUGAGAGCCCAGAGCAGCAUCCAGCCAGCCUGUGUGUCUCAUUAAGGACGCCUGGGGAGCUGAACUAGUGGAAGACCUUCUGGGGCCCAGACAGCACCAGGGUCAGGGUAACACGGUACAGGACUAAGAGCAAAUGAGCCCCACACCACGGUGUGUAGCCAUGGGCGAGCUCUCAGCCAGCUGCACCUCCGUUCCCUCAGUGUGUGGAGAACACGGGGGACCUGCCCACGGAGUUGCGCUAAGGAGCAACCAAAUGGACAUUUUUAGGCGCUUGCAAAGGGAUGUGUGAGCCUGCUGGUAAACCUGGCUACACCAAAGUCUGGAGCCACAGGAAUGUGUGGAUAAAGGGAGUCAAGGAGCCUACACCAGAAGAAGACCCUCCCUGAUGCCACCCGAUUCCAGCUGAGAUUGAGAGGGGGAGAGGGAGCUGUAGGUGCCCACGAGAGGGGCCCUGACCUCCCUACCCACACCUGUCUUCCCCAGGAGCAGUCACGUGUUGGGAUGAAGUUGAGAAUGAGGAGGAAAUGAAAACACACAGGAACAAACAUUUAUUGAAACGACGUUUCACACACCUGCUUGAAGCCCCUGGUCAAAGCGCUGGUGUUAGCAUCUGAGGCGUGCCUUGUUGGGAUCUGUGUGGCUUCUCCGGACAUGUCUAUUGUUGUUCUCGGAUCACUCACUUGCUGGAGAGCCCUCGGGGUGUCAUGAGUUUGAGGCAACAAGUCGACCCACACUUCCACCUUCCUUGGCCCAAGGUCCUUAGCCUCGCUGUGGAGAGCUCCACAACUCACCCUCAGGGCAGAGGCCUGCCUGCUGAGCACAGCCACCUCGCUGGCUCACACGCUGGAAGACAUGACACUUGGAGAUUGGGCCUCCUGUACACAGUACUCACUGGGCAAGAUCCCGCCAGUGCGCUGCCUGCGGGGAAGCUGCGAGACCACUGAGGACUUCCCACACUCACUGAUGCUGGGAGCCAGGAAGCCGGCUCCUAACUUAACCUCGAGUCAAGUCCUCUGCCCCGAGAACAAACCACUUGAGAAACUUAAGACUCAUGAAGGGCUCUUCGAAAUAGGACUUGUUGUCCAAGAGGGAAAGAGUUAUUACACGAGGAAAAACAGCCAGGAGUUUGGAAUGGGACUGUACUCAUUUCCCAAAAGAAGUGUUUACACAUCACUUCUUAGGCCUGGAGAGCACUGGCUGCCCUUCCAGAGGAGCUGAGUCCAGUUCCCGGAACCCACGUGGCAGCUCACGGCCAUCUGUACCUCCAGAUCUGACGCCACCUUCCGGCCUCCGUAGGUUUACAUGCAUGCCUUACAACUACAUUUAUGCAGACAAAACACCCAGAUGCAUAAAGUAAAAUGAGAUAGAGACCAAACUUUAAAUCUGGAGUUAUUGCCACGUGUGGUGCCUGAAAAUUGACCAAGUCAGUUUCAAGGUCCCUUUCUCUUGCUGUCCUUGGUUUAGACGCUGAAAGAAACAGGCCUCUGGGUUUGUGGCCUUGUGGCGCCACCUAGAGGCAGAGCAAAUUUCUACACCAUCUGGCAGCUCUCUGAGGUCCAGGGGCCACCUGCAAGCCAUGUAGCAAGCAGAAGAAACAUUUCCUAGUUCAAGAGACUUCUGUAGACUGGGAAGGUGGCUCCCUGCAGCUUUCUGUAGGGCUGGGGAGAUGGCUCUGCGCAGCUGUUGCUCCUGCAGAGGACCCAGGUUCUAUUCUCAGCACCCCAUCUCUAACUGCAGUUCCAGGGGUCUGAUGCUCUCCUCUGGCCCCUGAGACACUGUGUGCAAGUGGAAUGCAUCCUUAUGUGCAGGCAAGACACGCCUGUACGUUCUAAAAGAAGUGAACAGGGACCCACAAAAAGAGACAGAGGAAGGGAGGGGGAACCAUGGAAAAACGAGAACAGAGAGGCCCAGCCUAGGAGUCUGUUCUGGCGGCGGUGGCCCACGCCUUUAAUCCCAGCACUCGGGAGGCAGAGGCAGGCGGAUCUCUGUGAGUUCGAGGCCAGCCUGGUCUACAAGAGCAAAU